This 894-nucleotide ribosomal RNA is filed under the name Capillaria sp. CZ20CSP_B. RNAcentral's name for it is "partial 28S ribosomal RNA". It matches the Rfam family "Eukaryotic large subunit ribosomal RNA", at positions 404 to 911 of the family's 3401-position model. The record is from RNAcentral. Lineage: Eukaryota; Metazoa; Nematoda; Enoplea; Trichinellida; Capillariidae.
ACCGUUCAAAGAAAACUGACGGAGCCGUCGUUGUCAGACGGCUUGGCAAUCAAUCGCGUUCGGCGUGGCCGAGUCGUCGCCGGUUGCUUGACCGCAGGCCGUUGCGCAGGCGGCGGCGUCGGCGAUUGACAGGAGAAUCGGCCGCGAGCGAUGCAUUUGUCGACCGCAGGCGCCACGAGCAGCGUCAAGCAGUUGCGCGCGUUAGGCCUAGUCGCUUGGCUAUGACGCGUUCGUCUCCGGCCGGACUCUCGCGGUUCGGCCGGCGGCGAACGGUCGGCGGCAGAUGGUCCCUACGGCAACGGUCAUUGCUGACGCUGCUGUUGGACGACGACGGGUCGCGGUUGCCCCGCUUGGCGUGCUUUGCGGCGGGCAAGCUUGCAUUGCGACGGCAGCAGUCUUGGCAAAGCGCGUUUUCGGCUCGGAUCAUUUUGACCGGUCGUUUGAUUUUCAGCCUGCAAAGGUUGGGUCGGCGAUUUGCAUGGUCCGGUCGUGACGCGGCUGUUGUUGUUCAACGUUGGCACCCGACAUUGACCCGUAAUCGGUGGCGUUUUCGUGACGGUCACCCGUCAGACCCGUCUUGAAACACGGACCAAGGAGUGCAGCAGUUGCGCGAGUCAUUGACACGUUUUGACGGUCAAAGGCGCAACGAAAGUGAACAAACACAAAAUGCUGUGUAGAGCCAGCCGUGUCCGUUCUUUUCGGGCACGGCGGCGCAUACAGGAGCCGUUCGAAUCGCAGUUGCCGGCGGCUUUCGGGUUGCCGGUGACCGAUGCAACGGAUUCGGAGCGCACAUGCUGCUACCCGAAAGAUGGUGAACUAUGCCUGAGCAGGAUGAAGCCAGAGGAAACUCUGGUGGAAGUUCGAAGCGGUGUGACGUGCAAUCACUCGCUGACU